This is a long non-coding RNA of Populus trichocarpa (black cottonwood), 1251 nucleotides long. RefSeq lists it as uncharacterized. The record is from RefSeq and is a predicted model, not a curated record. The transcript has 4 exons. Lineage: Eukaryota; Viridiplantae; Streptophyta; Magnoliopsida; Malpighiales; Salicaceae.
UUGAACCGGUUAAAAUAUUUAGGAAAAUGUCCGGUUCGGUUCGGUUUCCGGUUUUGGUGUGCCUGAACCGGCCAACCCGAACCGAACCGGUUCGGGUUAGGAAUGAAAAAAAAAAUAUAUAAACCAAGCGGGCCGCCUCCUCCCUUUACUUUCCCUUUCAAUAACCCUAGCAGACCAUUUUUUGCUUUCCCUUUCAUACAGCCGCCCCCUCCUCUUCAACCCUUUCAAUCUUCAUUCACAGUUCACCCUUCACACUUCACAGACACAGCCACCCCCUCCAAUCACCCCUACUCCCAUUAACAGCCGCCUCCUCUUCACCAGUAACCGAGCUUAGGCUAUUCUCGGACGACCAUUCUUCGAAUCUCGAAAGAAACCGUCGUGCGUGUGAGGUGGCGAAACUGUUACCACUUCCAGAUCUUCUUCAAUCUAUUGCUUCUAUCAAAGCCGAUUACAUCGCUCAGGUGGACGAAAGAACACAAUUUGCAAAGGAAAUUGGAAUCGUUGUCCCUGUCUCAGAUUCUCAGAAGACAAUCAAGCGCAAACACGAUGGAUUCUUUUUUGCUGUCAAAGAGGUUUCACUGCUUGAUCAGGGAAGUCAGGGAAAACAAAGUAUUUAUCAACUUGAGCAGGAGAUUGCUCUUUUAAGUCGGUUUGAACAUGAAAACAUAGUUCAAUAUUAUGGCACAGAUAAUGUACUGCUUUCUUGCUUUCUGUUGGGUUCUAGAUUUGAUUGUUUGAUCUACAUCAAUUCUGAAUGGAACUGAUGGAACCCAAGAUAUAAUUCUGUUUCUUGGUUAUUGUUGCUAGAGUAGGUGCAACUAGUUCUUUCCUCUGCAAGUUGGGUUUGGUAAGAUUGAUUAUAAAGAAAAAGGUAUUGGUAAUGCACAAUUUUGAUUUUAGUGCUGAUGUUAAGUGUGGCUUGAUUUAUGAUAGAUAAUUAUGUUGACAAUAUUGGGCUUCAUGAAUGAUGAUGCCAGUUUAUUUCUGGUCUUAGUAAGCUAUACUACUGCUGGAUUUGUGCUCUUUAUUUAUAUAGCAAAUUCUUAUUCAAAUCUUUGAUAUUUAUCGGUAAUGAAACUUCAAUCUUGCCUCAGGUUGUCGACCAAGUCAAAAUUCCUCCUACAAGUAUACAAUAUUGUUUUAUUAUAAUGUUAUUUGUUGUUUUUUCUUUAAGCCCUUUGAAGGCAUUGGUUUGUAAUUUGGAUUAAUUUGGAUUUUAACUUAUUGAUGUGUGACUAUGUGUUAUUUAAA